RNAcentral lists this ribosomal RNA (796 nucleotides) under uncultured eukaryote. RNAcentral's name for it is "bacterial SSU rRNA". It matches the Rfam family "Eukaryotic small subunit ribosomal RNA", at positions 613 to 1495 of the family's 1831-position model. The record is from RNAcentral.
UUGCAGUUGAACGCUCGUAGUCUGAGGUAACUCCAUUUUGGAAUAACCGUUCGCCUCGCUAGUCAUCCGACUGGUGAGAUCCCGACGGUUUUUCACCUUGAAUAAAUCAGAGUGUUCAAAGCAGGCUCAGCUUGAAUACUUCCGCAUGGAAUGAGACGAAUAUUAUUUCCCUUGUUUCGGUGCUUGGGUUUGUAAAUAUCUUUAGGAACAGUCGAGGACAUUUGUACUUAAUCGAGAGAGGUGAAAUUCUUGGACCGAUUAAUGACAAACAAAAGCGAAAGCAUCUGCCAAGGAUGUUUUCUUUGAUCAAGAACGAAGGUCAGUGUAUCGAAGACGAUCAGAUACCGUCGUAGUCCUGACUGUAAACUAUGCCGACUGGAGUUCCAUUGAGAAGCAUUCAACUCAGUGGGGAUCCAGAGAGAAAUCAAAGUUUUUGGGUUCUGGGGGAAGUAUGGUCGCAAGGCUGAAACUUGAAGGAAUUGACGGAAGGGCACCACCAGGCGUGGAGCUUGCGGCUUAAUUUGACUCAACGCGGGAAAACUUACCAGGUCAAAACAUGGUUAUGAUUGACAGGCUGAUAGUCCUUUCUCGAUUCCAUGGUUGGUGGUGCAUGGCCGUUCUUAGUUGGUGGACUGAUCUGUCUGGUUAAUUCCGGUAACGAACGAGACCUUGGCCUGCUAAUUAGGGGUAGCACUUUUGCGCUACCACCUUCUUAGAGGGACUAUGAUACUUACUUCAAUGAAGCUCGAGGCAAUAACAGGUCUGUUAUGCCCUUAGAUGUCCUGGGCCGCACGCG